CACCCCGGAAAUGGCAAUAGCAUCCGACUGUUAAUCGGACGGUUAUUGGUUCGAGUCCAAUCGGGGGAGCCA
Molecule: transfer RNA, 72 nt
Filed under: Mycobacteroides abscessus
Lineage: Bacteria; Bacillati; Actinomycetota; Actinomycetes; Mycobacteriales; Mycobacteriaceae
Also listed under: 1 other name
Description: tRNA-Asn
Rfam family: tRNA
About the family: Transfer RNA (tRNA) molecules are approximately 80 nucleotides in length. Their secondary structure includes four short double-helical elements and three loops (D, anti-codon, and T loops). Further hydrogen bonds mediate the characteristic L-shaped molecular structure. tRNAs have two regions of fundamental functional importance: the anti-codon, which is responsible for specific mRNA codon recognition, and the 3' end, to which the tRNAs corresponding amino acid is attached (by aminoacyl-tRNA synthetases). tRNAs cope with the degeneracy of the genetic code in two manners: having more than one tRNA (with a specific anti-codon) for a particular amino acid; and 'wobble' base-pairing, i.e. permitting non-standard base-pairing at the 3rd anti-codon position.
Source: RNAcentral